This 316-nucleotide unclassified non-coding RNA is filed under the name uncultured fungus. RNAcentral's name for it is "partial contains 5.8S ribosomal RNA and internal transcribed spacer 2". The stretch from base 1 to 133 matches the Rfam family "5.8S ribosomal RNA", at positions 22 to 154 of the family's 154-position model. The record is from RNAcentral. Lineage: Eukaryota; Fungi.
UGGUUCUGGCAUCGAUGAAGAACGCAGCGAAAUGCGAUAAGUAAUGUGAAUUGCAGAAUUCAGUGAAUCAUCGAAUCUUUGAACGCACAUUGCGCCCCUUGGUAUUCCGAGGGGCAUGCCUGUUCGAGCGUCAUUACAACCCUCAAGCACUGCUUGGUAUUGGGCUCCGCUGGUUUCAGCGGGCCUUAAAGUCAGUGGCAGCGCCGUCUGAGCUCUGAGCGUAGUAAAUCUCCUCGCUAUAGAGACCAGGUGGUCCCUCGCCAUCAACCCCCAACUUCCUAAGUUUGACCUCGGAUCAGGUAGGGAUACCCGCUGA